Molecule: long non-coding RNA, 1275 nt
Filed under: Nicotiana tabacum (common tobacco)
Lineage: Eukaryota; Viridiplantae; Streptophyta; Magnoliopsida; Solanales; Solanaceae
Description: long non-coding RNA (NTAB_LNC010877)
Source: RNAcentral
AAUUCUAAUCCCAAAGACCCAAACCCUUCGAUGCCUCUCUCUCUCUUUCUUUGCUGAUAGUUCAAUUUCAAAGAGAAUUUCCAUAGUCGUCUCCUCCGUUAGCCCCUGCCGAGAAGGUCGUCUUUCACAAAGGGCUUCAUCUAAAACUCCAGGUGAUCAAUAAGCAACAAUUCUGAUUUUCCAAUUUUCAGUAUUUAUUUCUCUUUUGCAUAAAGUAUUAAUCUUUGUUAUUUUUCAGUUACUAAAGUCUGAGAAAGGUAGGUUUUUCUAAAUAUAUGUGCUUUCUUCUCUUUGUUGUAGUUCAACUUCACAGAACAGCUUCAUAGUCGUCUCCUCCAUUAGCCAUAAGCCACUGCCUCUUCUCGUUGGGUCGCCUCUCUCGUCGUCAGCCCAUCAACUGUUACUAUCAGGUUUCUCUUUGAUUUCUAAUCUUUCUUUUAUCUUUCAGUUACAAAUCCUAAGAAGGGCAGGUUUUUCAAUUUUAUAAAUGUAUGUGCUUUCUUAUCUCUGAAAGUAGUAUGGAAUUAGUUGGCCUUGCCAUUGAAAAUACUGGACAUUACAUCUUCUUUGAGAUAACUUAAAAAAUCUAAUAUGAUUGCUUCCACCCAUAUAUUCUUGUUAAUUUUUUCUUAUUCUUCAAAAUUGAUAUAUCAUACCAGAAGCUUAUAAAUCAAAUUGCACAUGAAACCAUAAAGUAAGUCAAAUCAAAAUCUCAGAAUAGGACUGAAGUUCCAAAAUCUCAUUGUAUUCUUUUACUUUUAAUUCUUGUUUGCCAUGCUAGUUUAAAUUUAAGGUUAAACAUAUAUAAAAUUAUUCUUCUAAUUCUAAUUCUAAUUUGGUAAUCUAGUUUGUGUUACAACGAAGAGAUUUUACCCUCCAGUAUCUUCCAAGUUGCCACAAUCAAGUUCAUCCUCUCUAAUUGCUACUCCCGUGUAAGAAAAUUUGAACCAAUUAGAAGAACAAACUCAAUCCUCUAAAAAACAAAGACAAGGAAUAGAUCUCGAUUCUUUACCGACUGAUCCAAAGGAGAGAAUACACAUUAGAGACUAUCAUCCAAAUGAGCGUCAUGAGAUUAGAAGAGAAUAUCUCCGAAGAGGUCCUUACCAACCCCGAUAUCAUAAGUUUCCUCAAAGAGAUUUUUCGGGCUUAAAGCGCCGUUUCAAUCAUAAAUGGUUUGAUGAAUAUCGUAAUUGGUUGGAGUACAGUGUGAUAGAAGAUGCAGCUUAUUGUUUGUGUUGUUACUUAUUUCAAGAUGAAGACAUUCAUCAAGGUGGA